RNAcentral lists this ribosomal RNA (468 nucleotides) under uncultured bacterium. RNAcentral describes it as "partial 16S ribosomal RNA". It matches the Rfam family "Bacterial small subunit ribosomal RNA", at positions 28 to 507 of the family's 1533-position model. The record is from RNAcentral.
GACGAACGCUGGCGGCGUGCUUAACACAUGCAAGUCGAACGGAAAGGCCCUGCUUUUGUGGGGUGCUCGAGUGGCGAACGGGUGAGUAACACGUGAGUAACCUGCCCUUGUCUUUGGGAUAACUUCAGGAAACUGGGGCUAAUACCGGAUAGGAGCUCCUGCUGCAUGGUGGGGGUUGGAAAGUUUCGGCGGUUGGGGAUGGACUCGCGGCUUAUCAGCUUGUUGGUGGGGUAGUGGCUUACCAAGGCUUUGACGGGUAGCCGGCCUGAGAGGGUGACCGGCCACAUUGGGACUGAGAUACGGCCCAGACUCCUACGGGAGGCAGCGGUGGAGAAUAUUGCACAAUGGGCGGGAGCCAGAUGCAGCAACGCCGCGUGCGGGAUGACGGCCUUCUGGUUGUAAACCGCUUUCGCCUGUGACGAGGCGUGAGUGACGGUAAUGGGUAAAGAAGCACCGGCUAACUACGUG